This 354-nucleotide ribosomal RNA is filed under the name Shigella sonnei. RNAcentral's name for it is "partial 23S ribosomal RNA". It matches the Rfam family "Bacterial large subunit ribosomal RNA", at positions 2251 to 2604 of the family's 2925-position model. The record is from RNAcentral. Lineage: Bacteria; Pseudomonadati; Pseudomonadota; Gammaproteobacteria; Enterobacterales; Enterobacteriaceae.
ACAGUGUCUGGUGGGUAGUUUGACUGGGGCGGUCUCCUCCUAAAGAGUAACGGAGGAGCACGAAGGUUGGCUAAUCCUGGUCGGACAUCAGGAGGUUAGUGCAAUGGCAUAAGCCAGCUUGACUGCGAGCGUGACGGCGCGAGCAGGUGCGAAAGCAGGUCAUAGUGAUCCGGUGGUUCUGAAUGGAAGGGCCAUCGCUCAACGGAUAAAAGGUACUCCGGGGAUAACAGGCUGAUACCGCCCAAGAGUUCAUAUCGACGGCGGUGUUUGGCACCUCGAUGUCGGCUCAUCACAUCCUGGGGCUGAAGUAGGUCCCAAGGGUAUGGCUGUUCGCCAUUUAAAGUGGUACGCGAG